Molecule: long non-coding RNA, 1046 nt
Organism: Melanotaenia boesemani (Boeseman's rainbowfish)
Lineage: Eukaryota; Metazoa; Chordata; Actinopteri; Atheriniformes; Melanotaeniidae
Exons: 3
Source: RefSeq, a predicted model, not a curated record
CCGUUUGGUUGAAUAAGAUGAGACUCUGUACAGCUACAGGGUUUUUAUUAUAUGUUCGCUAACAUGAGACCGAUGACCAACCUGUGUGAAGCAAGCUGCAUGUCACAGCUCAUUUGUUUUAUUUGUACAGACUGCCAACUACCAGGCUGAUAUUAAUGAGAAACCAGCAACAUGGUCCAGUUUUAAGGUAACAGAGUUGUAUAUUUAAUGAAUUGUGAUGUGUUAAAACUAGAUUCUAAUUAUGCUGGGUACUUUCCUAGCUGGGGUUUUAUUUGUAACUGGUUUAAUCUUCAUUAUCUACAAGUUGCAAAUGGUGUAAUCUGUCGGGUGGAGCCCUCUGCCAUAACACACCUCCAUGCAGUUGAGGAUGAAGACACCUUGUCAGCUGCCACCGAGAGGGAGGGUUCAUAGAGCCCUGUAGAGAUCAAUGUUAGAAGUGACCCGAGGAAGAGGGUCCAUCCACAGCCCAACUUAUUCCACUAAGCUGCUGUCCGGCCUGCGGCUUACAAUGAACCAAGACCUGGAACAGCUGACAAGCUGUACCUCCACCAACAAACAGAAACAUCACAUGUAGAAAUGGGGCACAUGAGGUUGCAGAUGAAAGAAACAAAUGUAGAACUGCUGGAACGCGAGUUAGGUGGCUGAGUCGGACGUUGCUCUCCUCUCAUUGUGGCGAUGUUAUAGAGAAUGUCACAUGCCGUAUCUGGAGUGGCUCUGAGCCUACGAAGGCACUGGAAGCGGCCUUAAUUUAUUAUGAAGAUGGCGCUGAGGAUGGCUGCUGCAUCUCAAGCUCUCUCCCUUAAUGUUAUUUUUUCCCCUUAUUUAGUCUUAUCCUUUUUUUCUUAUGCUAGAGAUAAUUACUAUGCAUCAGAUCGGUGGUGGAAAAAACUUUUUUUUUUUUUAAUCCCCACUGCCACCAGCUUACGGCUGGGAAUCUCCAUGGUGGCGCUUACCUGUUGUACCUAAGCGGCAGAGAGGGUCACAUACUGGAGUCCUGGUCCGGGUGACGAAACGAGGGAAUCGGCCUCCUCUACCGAGUAUUCUUC